GAUGAACGCUGGCGGCGUGCCUAAUACAUGCAAGUCGAGCGAACAGACGAGGAGCUUGCUUCUCUGACGUUAGCGGCGGACGGGUGAGUAACACGUGGAUAACCUACCUAUAAGACUGGGAUAACUUCGGGAAACCGGAGCUAAUACCGGAUAAUAUAUUGAACCGCAUGGUUCAAUAGUGAAAGACGGUUUUGCUGUCACUUAUAGAUGGAUCCGCGCUGCAUUAGCUAGUUGGUAAGGUAACGGCUUACCAAGGCGACGAUGCGUAGCCGACCUGAGAGGGUGAUCGGCCACACUGGAACUGAGACACGGUCCAGACUCCUACGGGAGGCAGCAGUAGGGAAUCUUCCGCAAUGGGCGAAAGCCUGACGGAGCAACGCCGCGUGAGUGAUGAAGGUCUUCGGAUCGUAAAACUCUGUUAUUAGGGAAGAACAAAUGUGUAAGUAACUGUGCACGUCUUGACGGUACCUAAUCAGAAAGCCACGGCUAACUACGUG
RNAcentral lists this ribosomal RNA (497 nucleotides) under uncultured bacterium. Its description in RNAcentral is "partial 16S ribosomal RNA". It matches the Rfam family "Bacterial small subunit ribosomal RNA", at positions 28 to 507 of the family's 1533-position model. The record is from RNAcentral.